AGCGCAGGCGGUUUCUUAAGUCUGAUGUGAAAGCCCCCGGCUCAACCGGGGAGGGUCAUUGGAAACUGGGAAACUUGAGUGCAGAAGAGGAGAGUGGAAUUCCAUGUGUAGCGGUGAAAUGCGUAGAUAUAUGGAGGAACACCAGUGGCGAAGGCGGCUCUCUGGACUGUCACUGACACUGAGGCUCGAAAGCGUGGUAGCAAACA
Molecule: ribosomal RNA, 206 nt
Filed under: uncultured bacterium
Lineage: Bacteria
Description: partial 16S ribosomal RNA
Rfam family: Bacterial small subunit ribosomal RNA
Source: RNAcentral